Molecule: transfer RNA, 66 nt
Filed under: Aleochara sp. 2 EF-2015
Lineage: Eukaryota; Metazoa; Arthropoda; Insecta; Coleoptera; Staphylinidae
Also listed under: 1 other name
Description: tRNA-Asn
Source: RNAcentral
UUAAUUGAAACCAAAGAAGAGGUAUUUCACUGUUAAUGAAUAAAUUGAAUUUUAAUUCCAAUUAAA